GGUGCAGCAUUUCUUAAGACUGACACCUACUGUACACGUUUUGAUGAUGGCAUAUUCUUGACAGUGGAAGGUUUUCAGACAACAGGUAGCAUGUUUCUUUUCCAUAUGGUGCUCAUGUGAUCUGCUGACAGAAACAUGGAGAUUACAGUUGCCAAGUCAUCCCACCAGGAAUUACCACUGAGUUUGUACAUGUUCAGGCAGUGACAACACAUCUCAACCUCCAUCUGGCCAACCAUGAUUAUAAAAAGCCUUUCAUUGUAAGAUGUGUCUGGACUUCAGUGAUGUUACAAUGCAAAAUGUGAAUUUGGCAUCAGUGAAAUACAGAAUUCACUGGAGAGAAUUCGCCCUUCUCUCCAAGUCCUGCUAGAAGAACGCUAGGGAGUUUUUCUUCUACACAGGAACUCUUAUUGUCAAUGACCAUUCUGUUUCAAAAUAAAAAACAACACUUGGGUUCCAAUUACAACUGCACAGAGAGCGUUCAAAGGCCAUUCAUUGCCCCCCAGGUCAUUCUGAGCCACACUCAAGUUUGAGAACCACCGUUUUACUCAAUGUGUGGGGGCAGAAAUUCACCGUGGACUGGACAUUUUGCUUCGCUGGAAAAUCAAAUCCAAGCCAAGACUACUGAUGCAUCAAGGAAAAGAGGAAGUCAUCCUUUCAUUGGGCUUAUCACCAGGAAACCAGGGGCUCAGGGCUCAGGGGCUGGCCUGCCUCUUCAGCAAAGAAGAAAUAGAAGAACUGGAAAAGUGGCAGAAGAGGAGGCUGGAUUAGAAGACAAGUAGAUGAUAUGAAAAGAGGAGGAGUUCAGGAAGGAAACCUCGAUGGCGGAAGAAUAAAACACGUCAGAAACUACAGAUGUUUAAACACACUUUCCCAACCUACUGCCAUGGGACUUGACCUGGUCAUUGGCUGUGACCAAUGGAGUGUGCACGGAGGUCCUUUGUGCCGUGGUUGAGCAGAGGCUUUGAAAGCGAUUGCUGGUUCGGCCAUUCUUCUUUCCCUCCACCACAUCCCAACUGGGACUUUCUUCAGCCUGGAUUCUGGAAUGAAAACACAUAAUGCAGAGCAGAGCUGCAGUCAGCCCCCAGACAACUUACAAU
Molecule: long non-coding RNA, 1097 nt
Organism: Molossus molossus (Pallas's mastiff bat)
Lineage: Eukaryota; Metazoa; Chordata; Mammalia; Chiroptera; Molossidae
Exons: 4
Source: RefSeq, a predicted model, not a curated record